AUGUUGAAUAUCUGGAUCGAGCUACCAUAUCUUGGCUACAACAUUGUUUUCGUCGGCGACCACGGAUGUACUGGCGCAGUGGCUGAGAGCAAUGCAGGGAGGUCGGCGCGUGUAUUCGCUCCGGCCUUUUUUAUU
Molecule: small RNA, 135 nt
Filed under: Velazquezella soli
Lineage: Bacteria; Pseudomonadati; Pseudomonadota; Alphaproteobacteria; Hyphomicrobiales; Rhizobiaceae
Description: Rhizobium soli sRNA ar35
Rfam family: Alphaproteobacterial sRNA ar35
Source: RNAcentral